Molecule: long non-coding RNA, 1915 nt
Organism: Spinacia oleracea (spinach)
Lineage: Eukaryota; Viridiplantae; Streptophyta; Magnoliopsida; Caryophyllales; Amaranthaceae
Exons: 6
Source: RefSeq, a predicted model, not a curated record
UUUAUUUUGGGUUUCCCUCUCACUGCUUUUCACGGUUUUGUUAGGGUUUUGUUAGAGGCCUCUGUGUUCCUGGUUCUCUUUCGCCUUCCUCCUCAUCGUUCCUUGAAGCAACAGAUUUUAUCUUCCAUCAUCGUUCCUUUGAAGCAACAGAUUACGGCUCUAGAUUGGAGAUAUAGAAAGUGACGAAAUCCAGUUCUGAAUUUGCGCGAAGAACCACGCUGCAUUUUUGUCAGCUUUGGCUGGUAUUGAGGUUCAGAAGCUGCUGCUAGAGCAGCCAUGGCAACUGUAUAUGACAUGGAUGGUGUAACAAGUAGGGGCAGUGGUCAGUUGCAGGCCUAUUCGAUAAAAGUGCAAAGAAGGAAUUACUGAUCAUCUGUCAAUUUUGGUCUUACAUAUUAAUCCUGCUGUUGAAUCCAGUGGUGGUUCUGUAGCUUGUACACCAGAAGAAGCUCGUGCAGAGGCAGAGUCCCUGCUCAAACUGGAGGAGGACGAGUUUUUAAAGUCCAUAGCAAUCAUUAUCGAAGCUAAGAUGAAAGAGAUCCAAGAUAAGAUUGAUCGUUUUGAAGAAAAGGAUUUGCAGUUGGAAAGGGAAUGGCACCAGUUACGUCAAAUGCAGCAUCAGCUUCACCUAGAUAAGCUCACUCUUUUAUUUCACAAGACUUCUGCGCCUAAAUCGGUAGAAAAUUUUCAGAUGGAAAUGUCAGAACAAAAUUUCCUACAUCUAGUUAGUUCAACCAUAAUGUGUAGCUGUGAUGUUUUAACCAGGCUUCUCUAUUUCUUGCUGCUUGCCUGCUUCUAUAAACAUGAAAAUUCCAUGAAAAUUCUGAUGAUAUGUUUUCUGUUUAUUACAAAAAAUUCAUAUCGUUUUCCUUAUUUUUUAUUUAAAAUUUAUGAAAACAGGAUGACUAUCUUACGGAUGUCAAAGUUGUCUACAUUUCCAAAAGAGAGGAGAAAAAAAAAGUAAAGGAGAUAAUAACCGACAAGGUGAAAGACAAAGGUACGUACAUGAGUAUCGAGAUGAGUUUAAUGAAGAUCAUGGAUCUAAUGAUGAAGAUUAAGAUCUUUCCGACAAGUGGAAAGAGAUGAAUUUUGCAUUGGAGUCCUCUAAGGGUGCUCGGGUGAGAAGCUACAGACCUGAUUCUCGUUCUAACAGGGAUAAACAGAGAAUGAUGACACCGACAUCAAUCUGGAUGGGAUUAAGCUGCCUGAACAUGAUUUGACAGUGACCGGAAUCACUGCUCAUCCUAGGCAUAAGAUGCAAAAGAAGCCUCACCGGUUAGAGGGGUUUAACUUCUUAUUGAGUAUCUUAAUAGCUGAGAAUUAUGGUGGUUGCAUCUUGGCGCAUGCUCCUGGCUCAGGAAAGACUUUUAUGAUUAUCAGCUUCAUGUAGAGUUUUCUUUCCUAGUAUCCAAAUGCUAGGCCACUGGUAGUUUCAGGACACUCCCUUACUAGAUUUCUAUUCCAAGAAAGCUGAGAAUAGGUUUCAACAAAGUCCUUGGACAGUGGGUAGAGAAGAGGAGCAUACUAUUUCCUGGGCAUAAGCAGUUCUCUACUAUUGUCGCUGGUGAUAGCUCGUGCAUGGCAACUGCUUAUUGCCAGGAGGUACUGCUGAAGUGCCCUAGCAUCUUUUAUGUAAACUUUAUGUAUAUAAGAUGUUUUUAUAUCUUGGGGGACCGUGUAUACUAUGUAAACUAGUAUAUUCAAAAAUUAAAAGCUACUUUGAAUAUGUGAAGAUUUAUAAGGUUUAUGUCACAUACAUAUUAUAUAGGUUUUAAAGAAUAGAGCUAUUGGACCGUGAUUGUAGGAUUUUUGAUUUUGAGGGACGUAGUUUUAGAACCAAUAUUUAUUUAUUUAUUAUUGAGGUAAUUGUAAUAGAUAUUAUGCUUAUGAAUUUGAAUUGUAUACAUUUUUUGAA